This 230-nucleotide long non-coding RNA is filed under the name Mytilus galloprovincialis (Mediterranean mussel). The record is from RNAcentral. Lineage: Eukaryota; Metazoa; Mollusca; Bivalvia; Mytilida; Mytilidae.
ACAAAGCCAUAAAAGUAGGGCACACUUUCACACCUAGUGAUAUACAAAGCCAUAAAUGUAGGGCACGCUUUCACACAUGAAAGGUUGAUAUACGAUUUAUUAUCUAUCAUGAAACAAGAAGGUGUAUAUCAUUCGACGAAAUGAAAGAAAUUCACAAUCAUAAUACAUGAGUAUAUAAACUAAAAUCUUAAUCAUUGUUCUCAUAGAGCAGACAACGUAAGACUCCACAA